UGCAGUCGAGCGGACAGAUGGGAGCUUGCUCCCUGAUGUUAGCGGCGGACGGGUGAGUAAUACGUGGGUAACCUGCCUGUAAGACUGGGAUAACUCCGGGAAACCGGGGCUAAUACCGGAUGCUUGUUUGAACCGCAUGGUUCAAACAUAAAAGGUGGCUUCGGCUACCACUUACAGAUGGACCCGCGGCGCAUUAGCUAGUUGGUGAGGUAAUGGCUCACCAAGGCAACGAUGCGUAGCCGACCUGAGAGGGUGAUCGGCCACACUGGGACUGAGACACGGCCCAGACUCCUACGGGAGGCAGCAGUAGGGAAUCUUCCGCAAUGGACGAAAGUCUGACGGAGCAACGCCGCGUGAGUGAUGAAGGUUUUCGGAUCGUAAAGCUCUGUUGUUAGGGAAGAACAAGUACCGUUCGAAUAGGGCGGUACCUUGACGGUACCUAACCAGAAAGCCACGGCUAACUACGUGCCAGCAGCCGCGGUAAUACGUAGGUGGCAAGCGUUGUCCGGAAUUAUUGGGCGUAAAGGGCUCGCAGGCGGUUCCUUAAGUCUGAUGUGAAAGCCCCCGGCUCAACCGGGGAGGGUCAUUGGAAACUGGGGAACUUGAGUGCAGAAGAGGAGAGUGGAAUUCCACGUGUAGCGGUGAAAUGCGUAGAGAUGUGGAGGAACACCAGUGGCGAAAGGCGACUCUCUGGUCUGUAA
This 701-nucleotide ribosomal RNA is filed under the name Bacillus mojavensis. Its description in RNAcentral is "bacterial SSU rRNA". It matches the Rfam family "Bacterial small subunit ribosomal RNA", at positions 56 to 739 of the family's 1533-position model. Lineage: Bacteria; Bacillati; Bacillota; Bacilli; Caryophanales; Bacillaceae. The record is from RNAcentral.